Molecule: transfer RNA, 77 nt
Filed under: bacterium
Lineage: Bacteria
Also listed under: 5 other names
Description: tRNA-Ile
Rfam family: tRNA
About the family: Transfer RNA (tRNA) molecules are approximately 80 nucleotides in length. Their secondary structure includes four short double-helical elements and three loops (D, anti-codon, and T loops).
Source: RNAcentral
GGGCCUAUAGCUCAGUUGGUUAGAGCAGUGGACUCAUAAUCCAUUGGUCCUUGGUUCGAGUCCAAGUAGGCCCACCA